RNAcentral lists this ribosomal RNA (507 nucleotides) under uncultured bacterium. RNAcentral describes it as "partial 16S ribosomal RNA". It matches the Rfam family "Bacterial small subunit ribosomal RNA", at positions 899 to 1397 of the family's 1533-position model. The record is from RNAcentral.
ACUCAAAUGAAUAGACGGGGGCCCGCACAAGCGGUGGAGCAUGUGGCUUAAUUCGAUGCAACGCGAAGAACCUUACCUGGCCUUGACAUGCAUGUAGUAGGAUCCUGAAAGGGAGACGAGGUAGCAAUACCAGCAUGCACAGGUGCUGCAUGGCUGUCGUCAGCUCGUGCCGUGAGGUGUUCGGUUAAGUCCGGUAACGAGCGCAACCCCUGUGUCUUGUUGCUAGUAGAGCGAGAGCUCUAAGCACUCGAGACAGACUGCUCUGUGAAACGGAGAGGAAGGUGGGGAUGACGUCAAGUCAGUAUGGUCCUUACGGCCAGGGCUGCACACGUGCUACAAUGCCCGGUACAGAGGGAUGCCAAAGCGCAAGCUGGAGCUAAUCCCAGAAAACCGGGCCCAGUUCAGAUUGAAGGCUGCAACUCGCCUUCAUGAAGCCGGAAUCGCUAGUAAUGGCGCAUCAGCUACGGCGCCGUGAAUACGUUCCCGGGCCUUGCACACACCGCCCGU